This 199-nucleotide ribosomal RNA is filed under the name uncultured bacterium. RNAcentral describes it as "partial 16S ribosomal RNA". It matches the Rfam family "Bacterial small subunit ribosomal RNA", at positions 327 to 523 of the family's 1533-position model. The record is from RNAcentral.
CGGCCCAGACUCCUACGGGAGGCAGCAGUGAGGAAUAUUGGUCAAUGGACGAGAGUCUGAACCAGCCAAAUCGCGUGAAGGAAGACUGCCUUAUGGGUUGUAAACUUCUUUUAUACAGGAAUAAAAAGAGUUACGUGUAACUUAUUGCAUGUACUGUAUGAAUAAGCAUCGGCUAACUCCGUGCCAGCAGCCGCGGUAA